Molecule: transfer RNA, 73 nt
Filed under: Paramuricea clavata
Lineage: Eukaryota; Metazoa; Cnidaria; Anthozoa; Malacalcyonacea; Plexauridae
Description: tRNA-Val
Source: RNAcentral
AUCUCUAUGUUGCAGUGGUCAUCACGUGCGUCUAACACGCGCAAGGUCCCCAGUUCGAUCCUGGGCGGAAAGA